Molecule: ribosomal RNA, 598 nt
Filed under: Rhodotorula mucilaginosa
Lineage: Eukaryota; Fungi; Basidiomycota; Microbotryomycetes; Sporidiobolales; Sporidiobolaceae
Description: eukaryotic LSU rRNA
Rfam family: 5.8S ribosomal RNA (bases 186-339)
Source: RNAcentral
UUUCCGUAGGUGAACCUGCGGAAGGAUCAUUAGUGAAUAUAGGACGUCCAACUUAACUUGGAGUCCGAACUCUCACUUUCUAACCCUGUGCACUUGUUUGGGAUAGUAACUCUCGCAAGAGAGCGAACUCCUAUUCACUUAUAAACACAAAGUCUAUGAAUGUAUUAAAUUUUAUAACAAAAUAAAACUUUCAACAACGGAUCUCUUGGCUCUCGCAUCGAUGAAGAACGCAGCGAAAUGCGAUAAGUAAUGUGAAUUGCAGAAUUCAGUGAAUCAUCGAAUCUUUGAACGCACCUUGCGCUCCAUGGUAUUCCGUGGAGCAUGCCUGUUUGAGUGUCAUGAAUACUUCAACCCUCCUCUUUCUUAAUGAUUGAAGAGGUGUUUGGUUUCUGAGCGCUGCUGGCCUUUACGGUCUAGCUCGUUCGUAAUGCAUUAGCAUCCGCAAUCGAACUUCGGAUUGACUUGGCGUAAUAGACUAUUCGCUGAGGAAUUCUAGUCUUCGGAUUAGAGCCGGGUUGGGUUAAAGGAAGCUUCUAAUCAGAAUGUCUACAUUUUAAGAUUAGAUCUCAAAUCAGGUAGGACUACCCGCUGAACUUAA